CCUACGGGUGACAGCAGUGAGGAAUAUUGGUCAAUGGGCGCGAGCCUGAACCAGCCAAGUCGCGUGAGGGAAGACGGUCCUAUGGAUUGUAAACCUCUUUUGUCGGGGAGCAAAAGACGCCACGCGUGGCGUUCCGAGAGUACCCGAAGAAAAAGCAUCGGCUAACUCCGUGCCAGCAGCCGCGGUAAUACGGAGGAUGCGAGCGUUAUCCGGAUUUAUUGGGUUUAAAGGGUGCGCAGGCGGAAGAUCAAGUCAGCGGUAAAAUUGAGAGGCUCAACCUCUUCGAGCCGUUGGAACUGGUUGUCCUGAAGGAGAGAGAAGUAUGCGGAAAGUGGGGGGUAGCGGUGAAAUGGAUA
RNAcentral lists this ribosomal RNA (356 nucleotides) under uncultured bacterium. RNAcentral describes it as "partial 16S ribosomal RNA". It matches the Rfam family "Bacterial small subunit ribosomal RNA", at positions 338 to 692 of the family's 1533-position model. The record is from RNAcentral.